UGUGCCUCAUGGAGCUGUCGUAAGGAAUCAGUUGAUUAAUUGAGAAUUCUACGCUCCAGCAAUAGCAGAGAUAGAUGACACAAAUGACAUUCGCCCGCCCAUGGCUGCCCAUGGACCAAUUGGCAUGUGCUUCCUUCCCUCUGAGGCCCAUAGAAGCCCUGGACUCAAUCUGACUCAAGGAGAUGAUGGGACUACAAGCUGCGGAAAGGAGCUACCCACUCCAAGGUCUCUGCUGAGAGCUGAACACUCAUCAAGACACCCUGCCUGCAGGGAGGAGUUACCCAAUGCAGGUCUCCUCUGAGCUGUUCCAUUGCUCAAUAAAACUCCUCUUUGCCUUGCUCACCCUCCACUUGUCCGUCUACCUCAUUCUUCCUGGACACAGGACAAGAACUCGGGACCUGCAAAAGGGCUGUAACACAAACAGGGCUGAAACACAUCCCUUGCUCGCCAUAUUGUAGGUGACAAGAAGGAGAGACAAGAGAAGGAGAGAAGAGCUGCAGCCCUUCUGGGAGCCCAGGCCUAGGAGAUCCCUGAGCCAGGGCUAUGACACCCUCUUUGGGGCUCUAUGGUUCCUGGUGUCUCCAAGCUUCCGGAUGCCACUGCAUUCCUCAGUGCCAGCCGUGGAAGCUGCUGUGGUACAUUUGGUCCAGCCACAGCCUUGCAGGGAGCUGGCUCCCAUGCUGGUGCCUAUAGCUCCCCGCCCCACCACAGCCAGCUUGCCUGGCCAUGCACAGUGGCCAGACCUCAUGCUCACUCAUGCACCCUUCGCCACUCCGCACCUGGCCCGCCCUUGGCAGGUAUGGGAUUCAGGGAUCCAGCCCCAGCCGAUUGCAGCCUGCCAGGCCGAGUGGGUGGAAUGAGACCUGUGGGCCCAAGCAAAACUCAGGCAAAGGCACCACUGGCCACAUAGGUUUCCAGCUGGUGAAGUGACACCCUGAGAAUCCCAUGACAUUAUCAUACACUCUUCUUAAAAACUGAACCCGAGGGAAAAAAUGAUACCCUUGAACGGUGAGGCAUAA
RNAcentral lists this long non-coding RNA (1019 nucleotides) under Homo sapiens (human). RNAcentral's name for it is "long intergenic non-protein coding RNA 2433". The record is from RNAcentral. Lineage: Eukaryota; Metazoa; Chordata; Mammalia; Primates; Hominidae.